RNAcentral lists this ribosomal RNA (465 nucleotides) under Vreelandella stevensii. Its description in RNAcentral is "partial 16S ribosomal RNA". It matches the Rfam family "Bacterial small subunit ribosomal RNA", at positions 338 to 795 of the family's 1533-position model. The record is from RNAcentral. Lineage: Bacteria; Pseudomonadati; Pseudomonadota; Gammaproteobacteria; Oceanospirillales; Halomonadaceae.
CCUACGGGAGGCAGCAGUGGGGAAUAUUGGACAAUGGGGGGAACCCUGAUCAAGCCAUGCCGCGUGUGUGAAGAAGGCCCUCGGGUUGUAAAGCACUUUCAGUGAGGAAGAACGCCUGGUGGUUAAUACCCAUCAGGAAAGACAUCACUCACAGAAGAAGCACCGGCUAACUCCGUGCCAGCAGCCGCGGUAAUACGGAGGGUGCGAGCGUUAAUCGGAAUUACUGGGCGUAAAGCGCGCGUAGGUGGCUUGAUAAGCCGGUUGUGAAAGCCCCGGGCUCAACCUGGGAACGGCAUCCGGAACUGUCAAGCUAGAGUGCAGGAGAGGAAGGUAGAAUUCCCGGUGUAGCGGUGAAAUGCGUAGAGAUCGGGAGGAAUACCAGUGGCGAAGGCGGCCUUCUGGACUGACACUGACACUGAGGUGCGAAAGCGUGGGUAGCAAACAGGAUUAGAUACCCUAGUAGUC